This 253-nucleotide ribosomal RNA is filed under the name uncultured bacterium. RNAcentral's name for it is "partial 16S ribosomal RNA". It matches the Rfam family "Bacterial small subunit ribosomal RNA", at positions 524 to 776 of the family's 1533-position model. The record is from RNAcentral.
UACAGAGGGUGCGAGCGUUAAUCGGAAUUACUGGGCGUAAAGCGUGCGUAGACGGUUAUUUAAGUCUGAUGUGAAAGCCCUGGGCUCAACCUGGGAAUGGCAUUGGAUACUGGCAACCUAGAAUGUGGUAGAGGGUGGCGGAAUUCCCGGUGUAGCAGUGAAAUGCGUAGAUAUCGGGAGGAACAUCCGUGGCGAAGGCGGCCACCUGGACCAACAUUGACGCUGAGGCACGAAAGCGUGGGGAGCAAACAGG